Molecule: long non-coding RNA, 7340 nt
Filed under: Eucalyptus grandis
Lineage: Eukaryota; Viridiplantae; Streptophyta; Magnoliopsida; Myrtales; Myrtaceae
Description: long non-coding RNA (EGRA_LNC001834)
Source: RNAcentral
CCGGAUUAGCGAGCCGAGCGAACCAAAACGACGAGGACGACGAGGGGAUCGGCUUUCUCCAAAGCGGGCCAAGCAUCCGGGGUCGGGAAGCCAACCAAAACGGCCCAACACUUGCUGCCAUACCCAUUUUCUGCAGCUACUGUCCACUGUUCGAUGAGGCCGAGAAUGGGCGGAUCCGGGGCUUGGAUGAGAUGGAAAAGGACCGAGGAAGGUUGAGGGGUCGAACCGGACCAAGGCGGGACCCGAACGGUGGCCGGAGGUGGCCGAAUGGCUUCGGCACGAGCUGUUGCAGCAGUUGCGACGCCAGGCGAGUGGGAGGCGGAGACGGUGCUACGGCGGGCCGGCGAGCACGCGUAGGCGGGGCGGGACGGACGCACGGCGGCGGCGGCGACGACGGCGUGCGAGCGGGUGGCCGGCCAUGGCUGCUUCUUCUUCUUCUCUGCAAAUUUUUCUUGUCCUUCGCACAAAGAACAUGGGGGAGUCGCACGGAAGAGAGAGAGGAAGAAGAGAGGGAGGAGAGAGAAGAAGGGGGGGCUUUUUCUUUUCUUUUUCUCUUUCUUUUAUUCAACAAAAAUGGCCCACCAUGACCUAGGAUGACAUCACACUCCACUAUCUCCCACAACCUCUUCCAAUGGGUGCAAUUCCAUUUUCCGCCGGGGCCUAAAACUUGUGCAACAAUGUCUUCAAUUCCACUUAAUUCUCUUCCAAUUAAAUCUUAAUCCCACUUGAAUUAAAUCAAAUUGACCCUCAUUAAUUCAUUCAACACCUCAUCAAUCAAAUUGGUAUUUUUUUCAUUACCAUUGUGGCGUAUUUGCAUCCCAAUUUCGCAAUCUCUGGCUUCAAUUGAACGAAAACGGCCCUAUUUAUCCAUUCGAAAUUAAAACCCGAAAAUCCGGAUGUCACAACUCUUCCCCCUUAUAAAGAUUUCGUCCUCGAAAUUUAAACUUUUACUAAUUCUUAACAAUGAGGUGAGGGUAUAGUCGUCUCAUAUCCUUUUCUCUUUCUCAGGUUGCUUUUUCUGCACUAAUGUUGCCAGAUCACUACUAUCUUGCCCAAACCACUUCGGAUCCAAAAUACUAAACACUUGCCCACUUAAAAUUCUAAAGGUCUUCAACAUAAAAUCUGCGAAGCUAAACUGGUGAUUAUCAGCGAUCUCAAGAUUAUCUCUGGUAACUGCGAUUGAAUCACUGAUUUCUGAACCAACUCUAGACCUGCGAUUUUCUGAUCUCUGAUCUCAACAACUGAAGUUCUGAACACUCUGCUUUGCGUUGAUUAAAAUAAACUAUCUGACUAAUCUGCUAAAAUUGGGAACCUCUGGUCAAGAUCUGAUAUAAUUCUGGCACUGAUCUUAGCAACUACAAUCACUGACUACUGUACAGACAUUGGCUUGUGAUCUUUCUUUCCUUGACUUCAUCUCUGCAAUUGAAAUUCUACACUUUAUGCUAUGCAUUGAUUAAGGAAGAACCUUCUGAAAAUUCUACCAAACUUAUAAUCUACGAUAUGGAUCCGAAAUAUAAUUCAUCCCCGGCACUCCAUGUUGGUGAAUUAUCUAAUGCUCGCACACUUCAGUAUACCCACUUUGUGACAAGACAGAGUCCUCAAUUUCUGAAAUCAAAUUUAGAUUGGCGGUUAAUUUCACUCCGACACGCUUUUAGUGUGACCUAGGCUAUUGGGUAGUGUUCAGAGCUUUUUAGGACAAAUGACUUGUGGUCGAUUUUCUUCGAACCACGAUGAACUCACUCGACACAUUGGCGACUCUCAAUUAUCGUGAAAAUCUUAAAGAUUCAAAUACGGACACAGGGUACCAAACCGACAGUAAAGUCAAAUUAGUGCCAGUCGACGAGAGUUUUCCAAUUUAGUGGAGUCACCCACGAUCGGUCAUUCAUCUCAGUCAAACCAACCUAUCUCUGAUCUUAAUUCGAUUUUUAACUGUGCCGUAAUGAUCUCUAAAGAUGAGCACGGUCGAAAAGUCGAUUUCUGGUCGAAUUCUCAAGUCUAUUUGCCUUAAGGUCCUUAAUAACUCACCCAACUAGUUUAGUUAUCUCGUAAGUGGCCAACUCAGAGAAAAAUACUGUAAUCGUGUUGAUGAAAUGCCCAAUUUAACCAAUCGAAAUCAGAGUUUGAAAAUUAGGAUGUCACACGCUCAAAACAAGAUCUAUUCAUAAUGUACCAAAGUGGACCAACUCCAUCUAUCGGUCGACUAUUAUUCUCAAAUGGUAUCAGUAAUCCCCUGAAUCCUUAGUAAGCUCAUCACAAUGUCCCAUUGUGAUAUAUUUUCAUUCUCACUUAGGACUCUCAAGUGAUGAUAAAAGUCCUCCUGGUUCACAUCACUGAACUUCCACUUACUGACAUCUCUGAUACUUGCAACUUGUUCAACGAUAUCUAUCUUCAUACCGAUCUACCAAUCUCGAUGAUGUAGAUUCUGACUCAUCUUCGCACUGUCUAGACGACUCUAAAUUGCUUUGAUGAACUUCCCAUAAGAUCUCUUCUUAAAUCUCCGUAUCGACAAUUACAUACAAUCGUUCUCAGAACCUUAGCAUUCUGCCUUUGGAAAUCUGAAAUCAAUCUCUCUCUCAUCUGCAUUCUCUUAUAGAAUCUUCUGAAUUUCUGAAUAUGUCCAUUGAAGCAUCUUGAUUAUGAUUAGUACUCUCGGCUCAAUUCUUUCUAGAGUGACAUAAAAUAUCAUAGUCAUAAUCCUUAAUGAGUUCCGUCCAGCGACACUGUCUCAUAUUCAACUCCCGAGGUCUCAACUGACGGGCCACAUACGCAACACGAGUCAUCCAAAACUCGCAUCUGCUAAGCUUAUUGUAAAAUCCAAGAGUACUCAAGGUCUGAAGUAUCAUCCUCGAACGUCUCUUGUGCCCCUCGGCACUCUUCGAACACACUAGGAUAACUUCAAUAAACACGAUCACAACUGAUUCAAGUACCCUUAAACAUUUCGCUCAUUAGACCCAAACAAACAGCUAAGGUGUCCAUCAAACCACACGGUAUUACAAUGAACUCAUAAUUGCCAUAUCGAGUACGAGAUGCUAACUUCGGUGUGUCUUUCUUCUUGAUUCUCAACUAAUGAUACCUUGACCUCCAGUCGAUCUUGAAGAAUAUCGAUAUACAAACACAAUGAAUCAACUUUCUUCCUCACGAAUAGAACGGGUGCUCCCCAAGGUUAUGCACUGGAAAGUAUGAAUCUCCUAUCCAACACUUCCUGCAUUUGCACCUUCAGUCCUUUUAACUCAGGUAAAACCAUCCGGUAAGGAGCCUUAGGAACUGGCUCUGGUCCGGGUGCUGAUUCAAUUGCAAACUUUAUUUCUCUUUCUGAUAGCAACUUGACAAAUCUUCAGAAAAUACCUUUAGAAAACUUAUGUACCACGAUUAAGUUUUCCAUAUUCGGCUCCUCAACUGACACAUCCAUUAUCCAUUAUAGUUGCCAAGUAGAUUCGGUAACCAACAACCAUAACCGGGUCACCUUUAGUGACGAAUAACAAUGAUUGAAGUUCCUCUUCAACUUUCAGUGCUUCAAAACUUUCACACGCUAACUGAACAAACUGAAUUAUAUCACUGCCAUGAUUCAUAAUAGCAGAAAGCUCCUCGAGCCAAACCUUUUCAUAAAUGACUUCCAAGUCAUACUUAAGCAACCCUUCAAGUACAACUAUAGUCAGAGACUCAUCUUUCUAUCACUUUAUUACCACGACGAAAAUCUUAUAACCUUCACUGAAAAUUCUGCUGUACUACUCUGAUAACAUCUCAAAAACAUUCUUCUUCUGAUUGAUGCAUGGUCAAUCCCUUCAUGCUCCUCUAGCCAUCCUAGCGGCGUCCAAUCUGCAGUAACGGUACUUACGCUCUCAUGGACUUACGCGGACAAUUCCUAACCCAAUGAUCGUGCUAGCCAUAUUCCAGCGUGCUCUCUUUUUACUCUGACAUUGGGCUGACUCACUCUCUUUUUCCACAAACUCAGCACACAAUCGGUGAGUCAUCUACUUCCCAUCAAGGAACAUCAUGCACCAUUCCUUGCACUGGGGUCUGUUCCAAGUACCCCACUAAAUGUCCCGUAGCAUGUUUCCCAUGUUCUGUCUUAUCAACGACGAUGCAGAAACAGUUAUAGUUCCAUCCAUCUAUACGAGCCAUCUUUGAUCAAAUGGCUUUACUGGCGACACCUGUAACAAGUCAUUUCCCUCUUACAGCAUGGGACAGACCCACGUCCUUUCUUACAGACACAACAUACAUCAAUCAAGUUGAGCACUGACUUUCGAAUUCUACUCUUCCAGUUGGGUGAAACAGGGCAUCUUUCUUUUGACAUCGGCCUUUCUCCCCAAUCAAUUUCUACCUCUAUCUAAACUGAACCUUGACUCAGAUACAGCGGCUUAAUCCUCGAUCACAACUCCAGAUUAGACCUCAACAGGCGCAACAACAACAGCGGUCACAACACUGGCAGCGGUAGACACAACGGCAACAGCAAUGGCUCGAUCCUGAACUUACUGACCCAACAAGCUUCCAAGGAACGCUAGUGCCUGAACGAUCCCAUCAAACCUAGGAUCAUUCGGUGCUACUACACUCUAAGUACCGACUUGCGGCGGUACUCUCACACUCGCGCUGGUCUAAGCCUGCGCCCUACCUCGGGUACCAACUCUUGUCAGCAUCCUACCCCGAGGUAUAGGUCCUACCGGCCUUCUCCAAGGAGUUCUCCACUCCUGGUCACUCAUCCUACAGGCUCUUUAUAGACACCUGUCUUCCGAUUCUAACAUCAAGUUAGAAUUUGAGUGACCCAACAAACAUACUACCAAUCAACUAUCAACCACAUGCAUCAGCAUAUUAAAAGCCUUUCCUACUAACUAUCCCAUGACUCAUCGCACCUUAUCACUCCAUACACAGACCAUGCUCUGAUACCACUUAAACGGGGAUGUCACGCCCCGAACCUCGAGGUAUGCCAACAUCCCACCAUGGUCAUGCAAUUGCGACAUUCCCAGGUAGUGUCGCUGACCCUAUUCAUUUAUUAUUGCGCAAGCGGAACGUAUUAUAAAACCCCUGACAAUGAAAUACGGGAUAGAAAAACAGGAAACAAUUUCACAACCAAUCACUUACUCAAACCAACGAAGUUACAGACGAAGGCCUACAGCCAAAAGUCUACGAAAGAUCGACUCUUAAAAAUGAACUGUCCUACGACCUACAAGUCGGACAUGCUCUCCAAUCCUUAUGACUUCACCUCUGCAACUCCUCAAGGCCAACCAAAGCUAUCUGGCCGCUCCGUCCACCGGGGACCUGAAAUGGUUAUUCAAUAACCACUGAGACAACGUCUCAGCAAGUUCAACCCCCUAAACCCCUAUUAGAAAGAAAAUACGCCCAAAGGUGGCCUAAUCACAUCACACAGAGAACUUACCUCACCUCAAUUCCUUCCUGCAGGUUAGCACAAUUUGUAUCACAUAAUCUCAAGUAGUAAUAAUAAUUCAAACAAUUGGAACGCCAUCACUUUCAUAUAAAUCACGAUCGCACUUAGCACGCAUUCCAAUUAUUAUUCACUGUCACACAAUGGCAUAGCCCACUCACAGGUCGACUAUCUAUUAACAUUACGACAUUUCGAGAAGAAUAAGCCACGUCAUUCUAUCGACGGCAUUUCUAGAAGAAUAAAGGUCCAGUUGGUCUCGCCACUACUGCGACCAAGCCACGUCGUUCUAUCGACAACAUUUCUAGAAGAAUAAAGGUCCAGUUGGUCUCGCCACUACUGCGACCAAGCCACGUCGUUCUAUCGACAACACUUCUAGAAGAAUAAAGGUCCAGUCGGUCUCGCCACUACUGCGACCAAGCCACGUCGUUCUAUCGACAGCACUUCUAGAAGAAUAAAGGUCCAGUCGGUCUCGCCACUACUGCGACCAAGCCACGUCGUUCUAUCGACAGCACUUCUAGAAGAAUAAAGGUCCAGUCGGUCUCGCUACUACCGCGACCAAGCCACGUCGUUCUAUCGACAGCACUUCUAGAAGAAUAAAGGUCCAGUCGGUCUCGCCACUACUGCGACCAAGCCACGUCGUUCUAUUGACAGCAUUUCUAGAAGAAUAAAGGUCAAGUCGGUCCCGCCACUACUGUGACCCGAGCCUUUCAACUAGCACACGACCAUUCGAUACCGAUCCUUGUAUACUUUACAUUCCACUCACAUAAUCCAAUUACAAUAUUAGCCAUUAACAAUCCAAUUUCAAUGCCGAACUCGACACUUGCGAUUUUAUGAAUAAAAUCCAUAUUUAUUACAAUCAACAUUCAAUUUGCCACAAUCAAUCAUCAAAUUCAAAUUCUAAAUACACAACAACGAUCGGCAUGAAAUUCUGAGAGUUUAGGGUCCCGACGAAAUUUUUGAAUUUUAAUAAAUAAUAAAUUUUAUUCCAAAAAUUAAUUAAAUAAUAAUAUCCAUAUUUUUCGCAAUCCACGCUCAAUUUAUAAUAUCCAACCAUCAAUUUCAAAAUCCGAAUACACAGCAGCGAUUGGCACGAAAUUCUGAGCAACCGGGGUCAAAAAUAAUUUUUUCGUUUUUUUUUAAUAAUAAUAUUUUAAUAAUUUCGGAUUAUAAAAUAAUAUUAUAUUUUCCAGAAUUUCGAAGCAUUUAAAUAAUUCAAAACUAAAAUCCUUUUAUGUCACAUCAAGGCUUAACUUUAAAUAAGUUCUUUUAACGUUUAAUUUAAACACACUUAACAUAAACCAACCUCUUAAUCCAAUUUAUAAUUAAUUACACUAAUCCACCCACAUAAACUUACUUAAUUCCAACUAAGCACACUUAGGGCAUCAUUAACACUCUAAUCAAGAUUUAGUGAGUUAAACUCAUCGGAUUAGUGAGCCGAGCGAACCAAAACGACGAGGACGACGAGGGGAUCGGCUUUCUCCAAAGCGAGCCAAGCAUCCGGGGUCGGGAAGCCAACCAAAACGGCCCAACACUUGCUGCCAUACCCAUUUUCUGCAGCUGCUGUCCACUGUUCGAUGAGGCCGAGAAUGGGCGGAUCUAGGGCUUGGAUGAGAUGGAAAAGGACCGGGGAAGGUUGAGGGGUCGAACCGGACCAAGGCGGGACCCGAACGGUGGCCGGAGGUGGCCGACUGGCUUCGGCACGAGCUGUUGCAGCAGCUGCGACGCCAGGCGAGUGGGAGGCGGAGACGGUGCGACGGCGGGCCGGCGAGCGCGCGUAGGCGGGGCGGGACGGACGCACGGCGGCGGCGGCGACGACGGCGUGCGAGCGGGUGGCCGGCCAUGGCUGCUCCUUCUUCUUCUCUGCAAAUUUUUCUUGUCCUUCGCACAAAGAACAUGGGGGAGUCGCACGGAAGAGAGAGAGGAAGAAGAGAGGGAGGAGAGAGAAGAAGGGGGGGCUUUUUCU